This 1596-nucleotide ribosomal RNA is filed under the name Ramphastos sulfuratus. RNAcentral's name for it is "16S ribosomal RNA". It matches the Rfam family "Bacterial large subunit ribosomal RNA", at positions 377 to 2925 of the family's 2925-position model. The record is from RNAcentral. Lineage: Eukaryota; Metazoa; Chordata; Aves; Piciformes; Ramphastidae.
AGCCUAACUCUAGCCCGACAAACAUUUUUCCCAACCAUACAAAAACCCCCUCCAUCCACCAACUAAAACAUUCCACACACCUAGUAUAGGCGAUAGAAAAGGACCCCCGGCGCUAUAGAAACAUCGUACCGCAAGGGAAAGAUGAAAUACUAAUGAAACACCCAAGCACUAAGCAGCAAAGAUCAACCCUUGUACCUCUCGCAUCAUGGUCCAGCAAGAAACAACCAAGCAAAGCGACCUUAAGCUUGCCACCCCGAAACCCGAGCGAGCUACCUAUAAGCAGCUAACACCUGAGCUAACCCGUCUCUGUAGCAAAAGAGUGGGAUGACUUAUAAGUAGAGGUGAAAAGCCAAACGAGCCUGGUGAUAGCUGGUUGCCUGUGAAAUGAACCUCAGUUCAUCCCUGAUCGCUCCCUACACGAACCCGCAACCAACCCCCAUGAAGACGAACAGGAGCUAUUUAAAGGAGGUACAGCUCCUUUAAAACAGAAUACAACCUCCCACAGCGGAUAAUUCUUCCCCAAACACAACUGUUGGCCUUCAAGCAGCCACCAACAAAGAGUGCGUCAAAGCUCACAUCAAAAAAUACCACAACUGCACGAAUCCCUCCCCACUAACAGGCCAACCUAUAACUAUAGGAGGAUUAAUGCUGAAAUAAGUAACUAGGGGCCCCCUCACCCCCUCUCAAGCGCGAACUUACAUCUCACAUUAUUACCCACAACAUGAUAUCUACACCCCCACAAGCACACCCUAUCCCCAAACCACUGUUACACCAACCCAGGAGCGCAACAAUAGAAAGAUUUAAAUCUGUAGAAGGAAUUAGGCAAACUCAAGGCCCGACUGUUUACCAAAAACAUAGCCUUCAGCACACCAAGUAUUGAAGGUGAUGCCUGCCCAGUGACACCCCACGUUUAACGGCCGCGGUAUCCUAACCGUGCAAAGGUAGCGCAAUCAAUUGUCCCAUAAAUCGAGACUUGUAUGAAUGGCUAAACGAGGUCUUAACUGUCUCCUACAGACAAUCAGUGAAAUUGAUCUCCCUGUGCAAAAGCAGGAAUAAAAACAUAAGACGAGAAGACCCUGUGGAACUUAAAAAUCGCAGUCACCGCCCAUCUCACCCAAGCCUACUAGGCCUCCAAACUUCGCACCCAUUGACCCGCAUUUUUCGGCUGGGGCGGCCCUGGAGCACAACAAAACCUCCAGACAUAAGACCCAAUUCUUAACCUAGAGCAACCCCUCAACGUGCUAACAGCCACCAGACCCAGUACAACUGACUAAUGAACCAAGCUACCCCAGGGAUAACAGCGCAAUCCCCUCCAAGAGCCCAUAUCGACAAGGGGGUUUACGACCUCGAUGUUGGAUCAGGACAUCCUAAUGGUGCAGCCGCUAUUAAGGGUUCGUUUGUUCAACGAUUAAUAGUCCUACGUGAUCUGAGUUCAGACCGGAGCAAUCCAGGUCGGUUUCUAUCUAUGACAGAUUUCUCCCAGUACGAAAGGACCGGAAAAAUAAGGCCCCUACUCCCAUGCACGCCUUCUCCCCAAGCAAGGAAUUCAUCUGAACUGCCUAAAGGACUAAACACCCCAAUCCUAAAAAAGGAGAG